RNAcentral lists this ribosomal RNA (253 nucleotides) under uncultured bacterium. RNAcentral describes it as "partial 16S ribosomal RNA". It matches the Rfam family "Bacterial small subunit ribosomal RNA", at positions 524 to 776 of the family's 1533-position model. The record is from RNAcentral.
UACGUAGGGGGCAAGCGUUGUCCGGAUUUAUUGGGCGUAAAGAGCGUGUAGGCGGCCAGGUAGGUCUGCUGUGAAAACUCGAGGCUCAACCUCGAGAUGUCGGCGGAAACCAUCUGGCUAGAGUCCGGAAGAGGAGAAUGGAAUUCCCGGUGUAGCGGUGAAAUGCGUAGAUAUCGUAAGGAAGACCAGUGGCGAAGGCGGGUCUCUGGACAGUUCCUGACGCUGAGGCACGAAGGCCAGGGGAGCAAACGGG